UACGAAGGGUGCAAGCGUUACUCGGAAUUACUGGGCGUAAAGCGUGCGUAGGUGGUUUGUUAAGUCUGAUGUGAAAGCCCUGGGCUCAACCUGGGAAUUGCAUUGGAUACUGGCAGGCUAGAGUGCGGUAGAGGAUGGCGGAAUUCCCGGUGUAGCAGUGAAAUGCGUAGAGAUCGGGAGGAACACCGAUGGCGAAGGCAGGUCUCUGGGCUGACACUGACGCUCAUGCACGAAAGCGUGGGGAGCAACAGG
This 252-nucleotide ribosomal RNA is filed under the name uncultured bacterium. RNAcentral describes it as "partial 16S ribosomal RNA". It matches the Rfam family "Bacterial small subunit ribosomal RNA", at positions 524 to 775 of the family's 1533-position model. The record is from RNAcentral.